RNAcentral lists this ribosomal RNA (564 nucleotides) under Escherichia coli. Its description in RNAcentral is "partial 23S ribosomal RNA". It matches the Rfam family "Bacterial large subunit ribosomal RNA", at positions 2252 to 2815 of the family's 2925-position model. Lineage: Bacteria; Pseudomonadati; Pseudomonadota; Gammaproteobacteria; Enterobacterales; Enterobacteriaceae. RNAcentral also lists the same sequence under 1 other name. The record is from RNAcentral.
CAGUGUCUGGUGGGUAGUUUGACUGGGGCGGUCUCCUCCUAAAGAGUAACGGAGGAGCACGAAGGUUGGCUAAUCCUGGUCGGACAUCAGGAGGUUAGUGCAAUGGCAUAAGCCAGCUUGACUGCGAGCGUGACGGCGCGAGCAGGUGCGAAAGCAGGUCAUAGUGAUCCGGUGGUUCUGAAUGGAAGGGCCAUCGCUCAACGGAUAAAAGGUACUCCGGGGAUAACAGGCUGAUACCGCCCAAGAGUUCAUAUCGACGGCGGUGUUUGGCACCUCGAUGUCGGCUCAUCACAUCCUGGGGCUGAAGUAGGUCCCAAGGGUAUGGCUGUUCGCCAUUUAAAGUGGUACGCGAGCUGGGUUUAGAACGUCGUGAGACAGUUCGGUCCCUAUCUGCCGUGGGCGCUGGAGAACUGAGGGGGGCUGCUCCUAGUACGAGAGGACCGGAGUGGACGCAUCACUGGUGUUCGGGUUGUCAUGCCAAUGGCACUGCCCGGUAGCUAAAUGCGGAAGAGAUAAGUGCUGAAAGCAUCUAAGCACGAAACUUGCCCCGAGAUGAGUUCUCCC